UACGUAGGGUGCGAGCGUUGUCCGGAAUUACUGGGUGUAAAGCGCGUGUAGGCGGGAGGCCAAGUCUGUGGUGAAAUCGCUCGGCUUAACUGGGCGGGGUCCAUGGAAACUGGUCACCUGGAGGUCGGUAGAGGCAAGUGGAAUUCCCGGUGUAGUGGUGAAAUGCGUAGAGAUCGGGAGGAACACCAGUGGCGAAGGCGGCUUGCUGGGCCGGACCUGACGCUGAGACGCGAAAGCUGGGGGAGCGAACGGG
RNAcentral lists this ribosomal RNA (253 nucleotides) under uncultured bacterium. Its description in RNAcentral is "partial 16S ribosomal RNA". It matches the Rfam family "Bacterial small subunit ribosomal RNA", at positions 524 to 776 of the family's 1533-position model. The record is from RNAcentral.